This is an RNA transcript of Cryptomeria japonica (Japanese cedar), 1531 nucleotides long. RefSeq lists it as uncharacterized. NCBI's taxonomy places the organism in Eukaryota, Viridiplantae, Streptophyta, Pinopsida, Cupressales, Cupressaceae. The record is from RefSeq and is a predicted model, not a curated record. The transcript has 2 exons.
UAGAGGAGGGUAAGAGAUGGAAAAAGGAAUGGAGAUUGGAUUUGGAAUUGAUGAACCAAUGUGUGGCAUUAGUUGAAUCUCUGAGGACGCAAACCUUCAGCAGAUUGAGGAAGGGCUGGACGAAACCCUAGUUCUUCAUUUGGGAGUGGGAGAUAUUCAGUUUUCCACAUUGAGCAUAAGAGGUUAUGGUGAUUGGGAAGGACAAUCUGUCCUUUCACUCGAGCUUUCAUUGGUGGCUUAAGGACAAUUACUUGGGUUUACAUUGAGGGUAUUAUAUUUAGUAUCAAAGAACCCUUGAUCAGCAUUAUGGUGGAAAUUGGCAGAUUUCAUUAAGCGCUGAUUGAAGACAGAUUGGUGUGAAAGAUCUACUGGUUUCCAGGUCUGAAUCAGCUCCACGAUCUCACCCAUUGCUCAGCAUGUAAGCAUCGAACCCCAUUAUGGUUAUCAGCAAUAUGUUUGGAAUUAUAAGGCGAUCUUGUUUCAUAUGUAUUGGAGGUGGUUACACAGCUGCUGUUGGAAUAUUCCAAGUCUGAGUCAAAUUCGAUCUGCAUACUUCUAACCCACGAAGUUGUUCAUUGUGCAUCAUUGGAGUAUCCAAACAUCACCUUGUAGUCAUCGAUUUGAUUAAGGGAGUGAGGCGAUCCUUUAGUGGCAAUUUGGAAGGAGUUAAUGGGGAAAUCGGCCUCCAAACAUCUUCAAAUCAGAAUUCGAACCAGUCUGAUAUAAACCCUCGAUUUUGUCAUUCUUUCAUUACCUAAGCUCCAAAUUUCAAACUAGAAGCUAGCGAUUGGGUUAAGGAAGGAAGGCGACUCACUUGGUGUUAAUUUGAAGGUGACUUAUGAGAGGUUCGGCAUAUAAUGAAUUUUUUAUCAGAAUCGAACUUCACUGUGGUAACUCAUGGAUUUGGCUCAUAGCUCUCACAUUCGACUGCCAGAUUUCAUAUAGAGUAAGGCGACCCCUCUGUACACCUUAGGCGAUCUUUUGGUGGAAGUUUGAAGUGCUUAAGGCGGCUACCCAUUGAGAUCUCCGACCUCCAUUGCUGCAGUAGGGUUGAAGUUGGAAGAGGUCAGAUUUGGAGAGACUUUGACAUUGGAUAUUGUUUAUUUCUUCAAGGCGCCCCUUACCAGAAAUGUAUUGAUAAACUCAAAGAAGGGGAUGAAGUUAGGGGUUGGAUCCGUUUGAUGGUGUUGCUAUGGGCAUUGAGCGGAUUCACUCCCUAUCUAUUGUACAUGGAGUCAAGUUGAAAGGAACAAGAGAUGAAAAUGUAAACAUUUUAAAGGUCACAAGUAACAUACCCCUUGCUUAUGAAGACAAAAUAGAUGGAGUUGUCCGUCUGAAAGAGAAAGAGGGAACUUUCACAUGGUGGUCACUCAAAUAUUUGCAAAAAAUGACAUAGUUGAUCAUGUUUAUCAUGUACGUACUAGUUGUUAGACAUCUUGGUUCACUUCUUUACGUAGUAUUUUGAAUGUGUUUUUCAAGGCUCUUAAUUAUCAUGGUGUGUUUGAAAGAGUUGGAAACUCAGAAAACUUUG